Molecule: ribosomal RNA, 288 nt
Filed under: Triticum aestivum (bread wheat)
Lineage: Eukaryota; Viridiplantae; Streptophyta; Magnoliopsida; Poales; Poaceae
Description: partial small subunit ribosomal RNA
Source: RNAcentral
AUGCGACCUAUGUUUGGUGCAUAUGGAAAGGCCGGGAGUUCUCACUCGAUUGCAUUUGUGAGCAAGGCUGCCAAAGAAGCUGGUGUUGCAUCAGAGUACAAACUAGCAAAGAGGGUGGAAGCUGUUGGUGGUGUCCGCCGUUUAUCGAAGCUGGACAUGAAGCUCAACGACGCGCUUCCCAAAAUCGAGGUCGACCCCGAGACCUACACGGUUACUGCUGAUGGAGAGGUCCUGACUUGCCAGCCAGCAGCCACGGUGCCAUUAUCUCGGAAUUACUUUCUUUUCUAG